Molecule: ribosomal RNA, 580 nt
Filed under: uncultured archaeon
Lineage: Archaea
Description: bacterial SSU rRNA
Rfam family: Archaeal small subunit ribosomal RNA
Source: RNAcentral
ACGUGGACACCUACCCUUAGGUCGGGGAUAAACCCGGGAAACUGGGUAUAAUACCCGAUAGUCCUCGGAUGCUGGAAUGCACCGAGGUCUAAAGCUCCGGCGCCUAAGGAUGGGUCUGCGGCCUAUCAGGUAGUAGUGGGUGUAGCGUACCUACUAGCCUACGACGGGUACGGGUUGUGAGAGCAAGAGCCCGGAGAUGGAUUCUGAGACACGAAUCCAGGCCCUACGGGGUGCAGCAGGCGCGAAAACUUUACAAUGCUGGAAACAGCGAUAAGGGGACCUCGAGUGCCAGGUUACAAAUCUGGCUGUCGUGAUGCCUAAAAAGCAUUGCAUAGCAAGGGCCGGGCAAGACCGGUGCCAGCCGCCGCGGUAACACCGGCGGCUCGAGUGGUAACCGCUAUUAUUGGGUCUAAAGGGUCUGUAGCCGGCCGGAUAAGUCUUUUGGGAAAUCUGGCAGCUUAACUGUCAGGCUUUCAGAGGAUACUGUCUGGCUCGAGGCCGGGAGAGGUGAGAGGUACUUCAGGGGUAGGGGUGAAAUCUUGUAAUCCUUGAAGGACCACCAGUGGCGAAGGCGUCUCAC